UCCAAGGGCGGCCCUUUCAAGCUGCCUGGAACUUUCUGCCAUCACACUGAGGCCACUGUUUGACCCAGUCCCGGGCCAGGGAGGCAGGAGCCGAUCACGUCCCAGGGCAGUGCUUCUCCCUGGCACUGAGUCCGUGGAAAGAGGCUGGGAAGGUUCUUUCCACACUUGAGGGCUGGCGUUGGGAAAAUAGGGUAGUGCUCUCCGCCCCAGUGAACAGCAAGAGCUCACUUCCCCCAGCAGACUUCUGCUCCACUGGCCUACUUUCAGCAUGGAGUGGAAGGAAGCCAGCUCCAGGAGGGCAGAGGCUUCCUCUCCACCCCUCUCUUCCACAACCUUCAACAGGCGCCUUGUUCUCCCCGGCCAGGGAACUGCGGAUGGUGACCAUCGUUUCCCAGCCCAGCAAGGGGAAAUGAGGGGAGGAAAUAAACGCAGGGUUUUUAUUGCCAAAUAUUUCUUUCCCUGGGAGGACAACGCAUUCAAACCGCUGAGUGGAGAUUGGAGUUAGUCCAGCCAUAAACCAUCUUAAUGAACACUAAUAGAGAACCGCAAUUAUUGUUGACUUCAAAAUGCAAACAAGAACUUUAGACAGUGAUCCCUAUCAGCCGGUGAGGCCGGGCACAGAUGCCGGGCGCUGUUUUUGCCGUUGCUUAGCAAUGGAAAAUGAACUGUUCCUGUCUGUUACCACUGGAGGUGGAGAUAAAGUUUGAACUUUUGCCGGGAGUGUCCCUCCAAAACGAUCAUCAAUCAGACAGAAUAGCUGCAAAUACCAACUCACAGACCAGGUUGGGAAUUAGGUGAUAGGGUCUUGCUAUGUUGCCUCGGCUGGAAUGCAGUGGCUGUUCAUAGACAUUAUCACAGCACACUACAGUCUCAAACUCCUGGACUCAAGCAAUCCUCCUGCCUCAGCCUCCUGAGUAGCUAGGACUACUGGGAUGCACUACUGCUCUUGGCAAAUUAAGGAUUUUGAGAUGGAGAGACUAUCCUGGAUUAUCUGAUGGGCUUAAUCAUUGACAAAGGUUCUUAUAUAAGGAAAAGUCAAUGUGAUAAUGGAAGCAGAUUUGAAGAUGCUGUGCAACUGGCUUUGAAGAUGGAGGACGGGGCCACAAGCCAAGGAUUGUUGGCAGCCUCUAAGCUGGAAGAGGUAAGAAGCAUAUUCUCCUGUGGCACCUCCGGGAGAAAUGCAGUACUGCCUAUACCUUGACUUUAGCCAAGUGAAACUAAUUUUAGACUUCUCACCUCCAGAACUGUAAGAUAAUAAAUUUGUGUUGAUUUAAGACACUAUGUUUGUGGUAAUUGGUUACAGCAAU
RNAcentral lists this long non-coding RNA (1307 nucleotides) under Homo sapiens (human). RNAcentral's name for it is "HSALNT0378604". Lineage: Eukaryota; Metazoa; Chordata; Mammalia; Primates; Hominidae. The record is from RNAcentral.